Molecule: ribosomal RNA, 465 nt
Filed under: uncultured bacterium
Lineage: Bacteria
Description: partial 16S ribosomal RNA
Rfam family: Bacterial small subunit ribosomal RNA
Source: RNAcentral
GACGAACGCUGGCGGCGUGCUAAACACAUGCAAGUCGAACGGAAAGGCCCUGCUUGCAGGGUACUCGAGUGGCGAACGGGUGAGUAACACGUGGGUGAUCUGCCCUGCACUUCGGGAUAAGCCUGGGAAACUGGGUCUAAUACCGGAUAGGAGCCAUUUUUAGUGUGAUGGUUGGAAAGUUUUUUCGGUGUAGGAUGAGCUCGCGGCCUAUCAGCUUGUUGGUGGGGUAAUGGCCUACCAAGGCGGCGACGGGUAGCCGGCCUGAGAGGGUGGACGGCCACAUUGGGACUGAGAUACGGCCCAGACUCCUACGGGAGGCAGCAGUGGGGAAUAUUGCACAAUGGGCGCAAGCCUGAUGCAGCGACGCCGCGUGGGGGAUGACGGCCUUCGGGUUGUAAACUCCUUUCGCUAGGGACGAAGCUUUUUGUGACGGUACCUAGAUAAGAAGCACCGGCUAACUACGUG